Molecule: non-coding RNA, 81 nt
Organism: Podarcis lilfordi (Lilford's wall lizard)
Lineage: Eukaryota; Metazoa; Chordata; Lepidosauria; Squamata; Lacertidae
Source: the annotation of a GenBank genome assembly
GCCUCUCAAGGGCAGCUUAAAUCGGUUAGAGCGCGGUGCUGAUAAUGCCGAGGUUUGCAGGUUCAAUCCCCGCACGGGACA